CCGGCUGGUUGCCCCUUUGGCCAAGUGUGUGGCCUCAAAGAUGGCAUCCGGAGCUGCGUGGAGCAACCGGGACGCUGCACCCUGGCCCCCGCCACCCGCUUCAUCUCCUUCGACGGGGCCACCGGCACCACCACGGCCACCGGCAUCUACGUGUUGUCCACCCUGUGUGACCCUCAGCACCCUGCCUGGUUCCGGAUCUUGGCCAACGUCGUGGAGAACUGGGACUGGCCAACCGUGAUGACCCUUCACCUCUUCAGCUCCAAGGCAUUCAUCACCAUCAAGAGGGACAAGAACAUCUGGGUCAAUGGGGUCCCGGCCACCCUCCCUGUGGAUGUCUCCAGCACGUUGACCAUCACGGAGACCCGGGGCACCAUCUGGAUCACCCAAAAACCCGAAUUUGUCCUUGGCCUCAGCCCCACGGGGGAGGUGACGCUGACGGUGGCCCACGACCUGAGCAAACAUCUCUGUGGCUUCUGCGGCAACUAUGAUGGCAACGCGGCCGACGACCUCCGAGGGCCUGAUGGGAAAUUGGUGGGGAACGUGGUGGCACUGGCCAAGGCCUGGAGAGCACCUGACCUCACCUGCUGAUGCAGAAAAACGGGGUUUAAGGCAGCUGGAAAUGGGACAACGUGUCUCAUCGCUGAGGUCGUUGCGACAAAACCGAAGCAGAUAUGAAAAAAAUUAUAUUCCACUCCCCCAAUUUGAGGUUUUUAUCCCCAAAAAAUUAAAAUUUGGAGAA
This 739-nucleotide long non-coding RNA is filed under the name Bubo bubo (Eurasian eagle-owl). Its description in RNAcentral is "lncRNA (ENSBOBG00000008449.1)". Lineage: Eukaryota; Metazoa; Chordata; Aves; Strigiformes; Strigidae. The record is from RNAcentral.